CACACCGCCCGUCGCUACUACCGAUUGAAUGGCUCAGUGAGGCGUCCGGACAGGCCCAGGGAGGUGGGCAACUACCACUCAGGGCCCGAAAGCUCUCCAAACUCGGUCAUUUAGAGGAAGUAAAAGUCGUAACAAGGUCUCCGUUGGUGAACCAGCGGAGGGAUCAUUA
Molecule: ribosomal RNA, 169 nt
Filed under: Thyronectria aquifolii
Lineage: Eukaryota; Fungi; Ascomycota; Sordariomycetes; Hypocreales; Nectriaceae
Description: partial 18S ribosomal RNA
Rfam family: Eukaryotic small subunit ribosomal RNA
Source: RNAcentral